RNAcentral lists this ribosomal RNA (305 nucleotides) under uncultured bacterium. RNAcentral's name for it is "bacterial SSU rRNA". It matches the Rfam family "Bacterial small subunit ribosomal RNA", at positions 333 to 655 of the family's 1533-position model. The record is from RNAcentral.
CUUGUCCUACGGGAGGCAGCAGUGGGGAAUAUUGCACAAUGGGGGAAACCCUGAUGCAGCAACGCCGCGUGAGUGAAGAAGUCAUUCGUGAUGUAAAGCUCUAUCAGCAGGGAAGAAAAUGACGGUACCUGAGUAAGAAGCCCCGGCUAACUACGUGCCAGCAGCCGCGGUAAUACGUAGGGGGCGAGCGUUAUCCGGAUUUACUGGGUGUAAAGGGAGCGUAGACGGCUGGUCAAGUCUGAAGUGAAAGCCCGGGGCUUAACCCCGGAACGGCUUUGGAAACUGAGCAGCUAGAGUGCUGGAGG